UGGGGAAUAUUGCACAACGGGCGAAAGCCUGAUCCAGCAAUGCCGCGUGUGUGAAGAAGGCCUUCGGGUUGUAAAGCACUUUUGUCCGGAAAGAAAUCCUUGGCUCUAAUACAGUCGGGGGAUGACGGUACCGGAAGAAUAAGCACCGGCUAACUACGUGCCAGCAGCCGCGGUAAUACGUAGGGUGCAAGCGUUAAUCGGAAUUACUGGGCGUAAAGCGUGCGCAGGCGGUUUGCUAAGACCGAUGUGAAAUCCCCGGGCUCAACCUGGGAACUGCAUUGGUGACUGGCAGGCUAGAGUAUGGCAGAGGGGGGUAGAAUUCCACGUGUAGCAGUGAAAUGCGUAGAGAUGUGGAGGAAUACCGAUGGCGAAGGCAGCCCCCUGGGCCAAUACUGACGCUCAUGCACGAAAGCGUGGGGAGCAAACAGGAUUAGAUACCCUGGUAGUCCACGCCCUAAACGAUGUCAACUAGUUGUUGGGGAUUCAUUUCCUUAGUAACGUAGCUAACGCGUGAAGUUGACCGCCUGGGGAGUACGGUCGCAAGAUUAAAACUCAAAUGAAUUGACGGGGUCAUA
This 575-nucleotide ribosomal RNA is filed under the name uncultured bacterium. Its description in RNAcentral is "partial 16S ribosomal RNA". It matches the Rfam family "Bacterial small subunit ribosomal RNA", at positions 355 to 923 of the family's 1533-position model. The record is from RNAcentral.